RNAcentral lists this non-coding RNA (23 nucleotides) under Cricetulus griseus (Chinese hamster). The record is from RNAcentral. Lineage: Eukaryota; Metazoa; Chordata; Mammalia; Rodentia; Cricetidae.
UUUCAUAGUCCAGAGAGAUUGGG